Molecule: long non-coding RNA, 632 nt
Organism: Lycium ferocissimum
Lineage: Eukaryota; Viridiplantae; Streptophyta; Magnoliopsida; Solanales; Solanaceae
Exons: 4
Source: RefSeq, a predicted model, not a curated record
GGAACUUCUUUGUUUAUUCACUAAGGGUUGAAAUACUCAUGUUGGAGUCUGGAGGAUUUUGGUUCGAUGGAUUUACUACAAACUAAUCAAGCGUUUAUGCCAAACUUGAAUGACAACAAAAUAGAAGUUUUAAGCUUGCAAGUUACUUGUAACGCCUAUGGAAGGAAUGGUCUACACCACAGUACUGUUCAUGGAGAAUGAUUUGGAUGAUUUCGUUAGGCGAGAAGGAUGAAUGUUACGUUGUUGGAAAAGCAGUGUUGAUACCCUUUAUACUCCAAGAUCUGAAGGCGAAAGUUUGUUCCCUCCAAUGUUAAGUCCUUCUCUUUUAAUGGAUUGAAGAGUGCAACAAGGAAUUUUAGACCUAACAGAGGAAGGAGAGGAAAGAAGAUGUGUCUAAGCUUUUAAAUUUCAGAUGAACACUUCAAGGGUCCAUUGAAAUGUGUUGGAGGAUAUAAUACUGUAAGGGUCUUGACCUCUUAUUUGAGUAUCAAUCUAUAUGUGUUCAUGAGAAGCAUAUGCCUUUUUUUAUAUACCUAUUAUUUUUAUUUGGCAUUGCAAUUCUUCUGAGAUUUUAAUUUUCUUUGUUUUUGUAUCAAAUUGAUGUUCUUAGAAAGAGGCUUGAGGCUAACAAA